UACCCUGUCUUUCUCCCUCUGUCUCUUCCUCUCUCACAAAGACCAUUUUAUGAAAAAGUGCAAAACUGAGAGAUCACUUGGCCCAAUGUUAUUUAUUUUUAUUUUUAUUUAUUUUUUUGGUGUGCCUGUGAUAGCUCUGUACCCCCAGCAGCAAACAGCAGUGUGUGUGUGUGUGUGUGUGUGUGUGUGUGUGCGCGCAUCAUAAAUGUGUAAAAGAGAGGAACUGGGAAAAAACAAGUGAUUAUAACUACUAUGUGUUAGGCCUAUAUAUGGACAACAACAAGAGCAACACACACGCGCACACACACACACACACACACACACAGUAAAAAUGAAACUGGCUAGAGUUUAGAGUUUCAUAUCAUUUUGAACUUCAAUAGGUGUGUGUGUGUGCAAUGCACUGUAUUGAUGCAGGGUUCUUAAAGAACAGAACAGUAAUCAACCAAUCAGGCUUGGCUUUCAUGUGCUUAGUAACCAAGGCACCCUUCAAACUCACUACUGAAAGCUGUCUCUCUCUCCCUGUCUCUCUCUCUCUCUCUUUCUUUCUGAUGUUUCACUGUAGACCCUCCUUCAGAGGUGUGUGUCUUGUAGUGAUGAUGGCUCUCUGUGCAUGGAAAGCUUGUAGGUGAGAGGCUUGUUUUAAACUGAUCUUAAGAUCAGAUCCCCCCCCCCCCCCCGCAGCAGCAAGGACCAACCACUGCCACUCCCAAGGGACUGGGCUGAUCACACGGCCAAUAUUUUCUCUCCUCUUAAUUCCAUCCAUCACAAAUAAAAAGCAGACGCUUGUGAUUCUUCUCUCUUUCUCACACACACACACACACAAUGUUUGUGUUUGUGAUUACUUUUAUGUUCCCAUUAAAAUACACCAGAACUCCUGGAAGUUUCACCCCUGGUCUAAUUGUCAUACGACUGUGUGUGUGUGUGUAUAGGAUGGUCCUUCAUGAUCAGUUUUUAAAAUUAUUUAUUUUUCUAUGCUUGAGUGAUACAUUUUUUUCUUCUUAGUCUCGAGACAUGUUUUUUUUCCUGGUGUGUUAAUUUAGGAUUUAAUCUCUUCUCCACACACACACACACACAGAAAAAAAAGAAAACACACACACACACCGACAUGGAUGUGUCUUCCUGUACUGUGGUCAUGGUUGUCCUCUCAGUCACAUGUAUGUAUGUGAGGUUUGUACUGCAGGGUAUUUGAGUGAAAAAAACUAUUGUUUCUGCACUUUUUAAUUAUUAUUUAUUUUAUUUAAUUUUUUAGUAAAAAUUGAUUCUGGCCCUUGCCCUUUCAAUUAUGUGUGUGUGGGUGUAUACAGACAUGUACAUGAUCUUCUGAACAUCUUCUCUUGUUGGUAAUUUUUUUGGUGCAUUUAAAAUAAUUUUUCUCCAAUUUGAUAGUUUUCAUAGACAUGUUGUUACUGGUGAGCUAAUUCAGGAUUUACACACACACACACGGGUGCUGUAUUUAAAGUGGUUGCUGUGUACACACACACACACACACACACACACAGGUGCUGUAUUUAAAGUGGUUGCUGUGUGUUGCAUUGCAGGGUGUUGGACUGGGUGCCUUUCUUUCCUGUGAACUUAUUAUUGCACACCACUUCCUAAAAACACACACACACACACACACAUACAAAUAAGGGAAGAUAAUGGCAAAUUACUCUCUUACAGUGUGUUAUCUUAACCAGUUGAAAUAAAACUAAAGAUUGUUGCAUAAACCUUCACAAGAUUUAUUUAAAUAGUGUAGAACUAGAUCCAUCCUGUUGUUUGGUAGAAUAUAGGCUAUCUAUUCAAUAUACUAUAUAUGUACAUAGAUAAGCAGCACAAUCUUAGCAUAGGUAACUGAUAUCAAUAAAUAAUUACUUCCAGAGGAAAGCAAAUAUGGAUGGGUAGAUAGGGAGAAGUGUGUGUGUGUGUGUGUGUGAACUUCUGGGGGAAAUGUCCAAAGGUCACCGAAACCCACCAAAACCUUUAUUCUGCUUAGUGUGUGUGUGUAUAUGUCUUACCAAGUUUGGUGGGAUUCAUUCAAGUGGUUUUGUCUUGAAUAUUCUGGAAGUGUGUGUGUGAGAGGGGUGGAGAGGUUGAAAAGUGAGGGACUUAGUGCACCUGUGUCGUGUGUGUAUCUGUGUUCGAUUUGCGUGUGUGUGUGUAGUGCAUUGAUGGGUGUGUGUGUGUGUGUGAUUUUGCCCUGGUCUUUCAGGGGGCUUAACCUUUGGCCCUGAGGUCAUCUGCCCCUUUGAAAUCAACUAGAGGGUGAAGACUAAGGGUUUUUAAACUAGCACAGGCAACACACCCACUCUCUCUCUUUCCCCCUCCCUCUUGCUCUCUCUCUCUGACACACGUAGUUAUUUAUUUUUUCAUGAAAUAUUACAGUGUAGUAAAUCUGAUGCUCACACUGAAUACAUGUGAAAGAGAAAGGGGGGGGGGGACUGCUGAUUACAACUUGGCUUUGCUUGAUGUGUGUUUGAAAAUAAUGUAAAAUAUUUAAAAACGCUUGAGUGGAUAUCCAGGGUCGUUUGUGUGUGACGGAGUCAUCUGUAAAACGAAAGCCUAUAUUAAACAUUGAGGAGGAAACAUACCUACUGUGUGUGUGUGUGUGUGUGUGAGAGAGAGUGAAUGUGUGUGUGUGAUUAGUGCCAAACGUUAGGCACAUGUCCGGUGAGCUGUACUGUCGAUGGAAAUCACACACAGUUCAACAGUGGAUCACAUGUGUCAUCAGUGGAUCACAUGUGACGGCCCUGUGUCGUUAGUGGAUCACAUGUGACCGUCCUGUGUCGUCUCCUUAAUGCCCUUCAGUCUCUGAGCUGCUCAGGAAUUAUCAGACGCAGAAUUAUCAUUUAUUAUUUGAUAUCAUUUUUUAUUUUUGUUUUAAACUAGGGCCAUAAGCUUUUCAUGGUUUGAGAAAAUUACUUGAUGUCACCAUUGAAUCCACAGCAAUCAGGAAACUCAGAAUGCAGUUGUGUAAGGUUUCACAUGACUGGAAGACACACUGCAACAUAGAGUGUGAUUCCCUGAGCAGCUGACGUAGGGAUCUGUGUGUGUGUGUGGUGUGUGUGUGUGUUUGUGUGAACUGCAGGUGUGCAUGUGUGUAGUUCUUUCUGCUGUUGUAAAUAUAAGUGUGUUGCAGGCAGGCCAUUUCGGUUGUGUUCUGUGGUUGUAGGUGUGAGUUUUUAAUUUUAUUUAUUUUUUUAAAAAAAAUCCUGUUAUAUAAUUUGUAAUCUGUAAUAUGAAUUUGGUAAAAAAGGAAUUUCAGCAUUCCCUGGCUGCUGUUGUUUCCUUCGAAUCUGACCCGUGUAAAGUGUAUUCGUCUCUAAUCAGUGUUACCUUAGGUGUGUUCUGUCUGAUAGUUUUAAAAUGUAAAUAUAAUCCUAAACUGGUGCAAAGAGUGUAUUAGUGUGUUCUUUCUGAUAGUUUUAAAAUGUAAAUAUAAUCCUAAACUGGUGCAAAGAGUGUAUUAGUGUGUUCUGAGGGGAGGACAGGAUAUAGUGGUGAACGACUAAACAGGAGUUCUCUAGCUGGUGUGAAAUGUUUUGCCUUAUUGGGGAAAAAAAGUUGCCUAGGUUGCCUGACUGGUGUGUUUUCUGUCGUGUGUGUGUGUGUGUGUGUGUGUGUGUGUGUGUGUGUG
Long non-coding RNA from Clupea harengus (Atlantic herring), 3613 nucleotides. NCBI's taxonomy places the organism in Eukaryota, Metazoa, Chordata, Actinopteri, Clupeiformes, Clupeidae. The record is from Ensembl.